RNAcentral lists this ribosomal RNA (442 nucleotides) under uncultured bacterium. Its description in RNAcentral is "partial 16S ribosomal RNA". It matches the Rfam family "Bacterial small subunit ribosomal RNA", at positions 338 to 795 of the family's 1533-position model. The record is from RNAcentral.
CCUACGGGGGGCAGCAGUGGGGAAUAUUGGGCAAUGGGCGCAAGCCUGACCCAGCAACGCCGCGUGAAGGAAGAAGGCUUUCGGGUUGUAAACUUCUUUUAAGGGGGAAGAGCAGAAGACGGUACCCCUUGAAUAAGCCACGGCUAACUACGUGCCAACAGCCGCGGUAAUACGUAGGUGGCAAGCGUUGUCCGGAUUUACUGGGUGUAAAGGGCGUGCAGCCGGAGAGACAAGUCAGAUGUGAAAUCCACGGGCUCAACCCGUGAACUGCAUUUGAAACUGUUUCCCUUGAGUGUCGGAGAGGUAAUCGGAAUUCCUUGUGUAGCGGUGAAAUGCGUAGAUAUAAGGAAGAACACCAGUGGCGAAGGCGGAUUACUGGACGAUAACUGACGGUGAGGCGCGAAAGCGUGGGGAGCAAACAGGAUUAGAUACCCCUGUAGUC